This 630-nucleotide ribosomal RNA is filed under the name Triticum aestivum (bread wheat). Its description in RNAcentral is "partial small subunit ribosomal RNA". The record is from RNAcentral. Lineage: Eukaryota; Viridiplantae; Streptophyta; Magnoliopsida; Poales; Poaceae.
AUGUUAGGAGAAAACAUCAACUUUCUUUGCUGGAAUGUAAGGGGCCUAAACUGUGUCAAUCGGCGUUCCACCGUUUAUGAAACCAUUGCAGCAACAACCUGUCAUGUUGCCUGCCUACAGGAGACCAAACUUGAUCAUAUGGACCAAUUCAUUGCCUCUUACCUGGGUGGUAAUAGGCUGCGCAGCUUUGCUCAUCGGCCAGCUACUGGCACUAGGGGUGGCAUACUGAUGUUAUGGGACGACAAUGCUGUCCAGAUUUCCGACGUGGUCAGCACCGUCUACUGUCUCUCGGCCAUGGUUCUCAUACGUGCAACUGGGAAUAUGUUCAAGAUCACUACGGUGUAUGGCCCAACUGAACCUUCUUGCAAAGACGCAUUCUUUGCGGAACUGCUCGCCCAAAAGCCAGCGCCCGGGACCAAAUGGCUCGCGUUGGGCGAUUUCAAUCAAAUCUAUCGCGCUAGGGACAAAAAUAAGAGGAAUAUCAAUCGCUCACGCAUCAACCGUUUUCGCAACGCCCUUCAUGCUUGUGAGCUCAACGAAAUACAUCUUCAGAACCGCAAGUUCACUUGGAGCAAUGAAAGAGAUAACCCGACUCUGUGCAAGUUAGAUGCAUUUUUUUUGCAACGUUGA